AUUGAACGCUGGCGGCAGGCCUAACACAUGCAAGUCGAGCGGAUGAAGGGAGCUUGCUCCUGGAUUCAGCGGCGGACGGGUGAGUAAUGCCUAGGAAUCUGCCUGUUAGUGGGGGAUAACGUCCGGACACGGGCGCUAAUACCGCAUACGUCCUGAGGGAGAAAGUGGGGGAUCUUCGGACCUCACGCUAUCAGAUGAGCCUAGGUCGGAUUAGCUAGUUGGUGGGGUAAAGGCCUACCAAGGCGACGAUCCGUAACUGGUCUGAGAGGAUGAUCAGUCACACUGGAACUGAGACACGGUCCAGACUCCUACGGGAGGCAGCAGUGGGGAAUAUUGGACAAUGGGCGAAAGCCUGAUCCAGCCAUGCCGCGUGUGUGAAGAAGGUCUUCGGAUUGUAAAGCACUUUAAGUUGGGAGGAAGGGCAGUAAGUUAAUACCUUGCUGUUUUGACGUUACCAACAGAAUAAGCACCGGCUAACUUCGUG
Molecule: ribosomal RNA, 484 nt
Filed under: uncultured bacterium
Lineage: Bacteria
Description: partial 16S ribosomal RNA
Rfam family: Bacterial small subunit ribosomal RNA
Source: RNAcentral